AUGUGUCGCUAUUUGAUACUUCCUCGCUGUUCCCAAAUCUUAUAUUAUGGCUGCGCCUACCGCGACCAACCUGACCGGCCAGCCGCCCCGCCGUCGUCGCCUCUGCCGCCGCGAUUUGUCCGGCGGGAUCGCACGAGGAAGAAAGGGAGAGAGAUGAGGAGCAGCGAGGCCAUGGAGCUCCUGGGCUUCGCUCCCUGCUCCCGCCCGUCCCCUUCCGAGGUUAAGGCUGCGUAUAGAAGAAUGGUCAUGGAGUCCCAUCCCGAUCGCGUCCCGAUGGAUCAGAAGCCUCAAGCCGAGUCAAAAUUCAAGCAGGUAGUAGAAGCAUAUUCUUGUUUGAAGGAUGGUCGAAGAUUUGGGAACAGAAUGGAAGUACAUGUAAUGAGGUCUGGUGUUCCAACGGGAUACAGAAGAUCAAACAAGAUAUUGGUUAAAGCCCCCUUUCUGCUCAUAAUUUGUGCCGCAGUUUCCUUUGGUUCCUACAGCGCUUCGAGGGCAUACCAGCGGCAAAAGGAUGUGUGUUCCUCUCAGAACCCUUUUCUUCCAUAA
This 546-nucleotide ribosomal RNA is filed under the name Triticum aestivum (bread wheat). Its description in RNAcentral is "partial small subunit ribosomal RNA". The record is from RNAcentral. Lineage: Eukaryota; Viridiplantae; Streptophyta; Magnoliopsida; Poales; Poaceae.